RNAcentral lists this long non-coding RNA (1455 nucleotides) under Homo sapiens (human). RNAcentral's name for it is "HSALNT0017007". Lineage: Eukaryota; Metazoa; Chordata; Mammalia; Primates; Hominidae. The record is from RNAcentral.
AAAGGCUUCCAAGAAGGAGUGACACCUGGGCUGGGUUUUAAAGGAUGAGCAGGAGUUCAUUAUGUGCACCAGAAAUAGAUCUUGGCAUUCCAGGCAACGGAAGAGCCUGAAUGUGUCCUGACUUCUUGCUUAGCAAAAUUGGAUCACCCUGCACUUUGGGAGGCCGAGGCGGGCGGAUCACGAGCCUGAUUAUAGUAACUGGCUCUGAAUUGCUGCUUCUGCUCAACUUCCUGGAUGCUAGCAGUACCCAGGGAUGUAAAGACCUUUCAACUAGAGCUCAUAGGUUCACAGAUGCAGAGGAAUUUUGCCUCAGGAUGAAUUGCAUCUUCAGUCUCACCCAAACCUGAUUUAGAUAAUAUUUCAAUGAGACUUCGGACUUCAGACUUUACAGUUGAUGCUGCAACCAAUAGAACAAGAAGAUGGCCAUCUGCAAACCAGGAAGAGAGCCCUCAUCAGACACUGGAUCUGCCAGCACCUUGAUCCUGGACUUCACAGCCUCCAGAACUGUGAGAAAUACAUAUAUGUUUUUUAAAGCACCCAGUCUGUGGCAUUUUGUUGUAGCAACCUGAGCUAAAACAGUUGCUAUUGAACUCUGUUCAGAGCUCCAGAUGUCCUGUGCUGGCACUGGGCAGGGUGCUCUCCUGGGCCAUUUCAUCAGCUCAGAGGCCUCACCUUCCACCAUAUGCUGAAGACCUCAAAUCUACAUCACAGUGAGACCUCCCCUGAGGUCUAGGCUAUUAAGUUGUAAGAUCUAUAAAAGCUUUCAUCACCUCACUUCCCUACUGGCCUUUACUCACCCUUCAAAAUGAUAAUUGUGUUAGUCAUUGAAAGAUGUGGCUGGGAUGAGAGUUCAGUUUACAGACUCUGCAGCUGGACUGCCUGGGUUCUGCCCUGGUUCCACCAUUAACUAGCUGGUAUCCAUGGACAAAUUGGUAUCUUCUCGGUGCCUCAGCUCCCUCUUUUCUAGAAUGAGGGGUAAUGACAGUGUCUCCCUCAUAGAUUGGAUGUGAGGAUUAGAUGAGUUUAACAGAUGUAAAGUACUUACAACAGUUCCUGGCACAUAAUAAGCUCUUACUAUAUCAGGAACUAGCUUAUUCUGUGCUUGUUAGUGUUUUAAUUUAAUUCUUAGAGUAGCCCGAUGAGGCUUUGAGAGAACUUGCCCAGUUCCAGAGCUUAAGCUCUCAACUCCGUGCUGUUUUCUUGUCUUAAGGCAUAAACACUGUUGAGCCUUGGCCGAUUCCUGGCAGAGCCAGGCGCUCCCUCCUCCAUGUUGUCACCCUACUCCAGGCUUGCUCACCCUACUGUGGGCUUGUGCAUCAGCUCUCCACAGCUGCUUCUCACCUGUAAAAAAUCAGGCUUCGUUUGUCUCAUUCUUGCCAUAGAAUGCCUUGUCCAAUUAUAUGCAAGCUUAGUACAUGUUGUUAAAUAAAAGAUUCAAUAAACGAAUUCAUAAAC